RNAcentral lists this ribosomal RNA (305 nucleotides) under uncultured bacterium. RNAcentral describes it as "bacterial SSU rRNA". It matches the Rfam family "Bacterial small subunit ribosomal RNA", at positions 335 to 658 of the family's 1533-position model. The record is from RNAcentral.
GCCCUACGGGACGCAGCAGUCGGGAAUACUGCGCAAUGGAGGAAACUCUGACGCAGUGACGCCGCGUAUAGGAAGAAGGUUUUCGGAUUGUAAACUAUUGUCGUGAGGGAAGAAAUUGACAGUACCUCAGGAGGAAGCUCCGGCUAACUAUGUGCCAGCAGCCGCGGUAAUACAUAGGGAGCAAGCGUUAUCCGGAUUUACUGGGUGUAAAGGGAGCGUAGACGGCGAUGCAAGUCUGAAGUGAAAGGCGGGGGUCCAACCCCCGGACUGCUUUGGAAACUGUAUGGCUGGAGUGCAGGAGAGGG